UGGGGAAUCUUGGACAAUGGGCGCAAGCCUGAUCCAGCCAUGCCGCGUGAGUGAAGAAGGCCUUCGGGUUGUAAAGCUCUUUUACCAGGGACGAUAAUGACGGUACCUGGAGAAUAAGCCCCGGCAAACUUCGUGCCAGCAGCCGCGGUAAUACGAAGGGGGCUAGCGUUGUUCGGAAUUACUGGGCGUAAAGCGCACGUAGGCGGAUUGUUAAGUCAGAGGUGAAAUCCCGGAGCUCAACUUCGGAACUGCCUUUGAUACUGGCAAUCUCGAGUCCGGAAGAGGUUAGUGGAAUUCCCAGUGUAGAGGUGAAAUUCGUAGAUAUUGGGAAGAACACCAGUGGCGAAGGCGGCUAACUGGUCCGGUACUGACGCUGAGGUGCGAAAGCGUGGGGAGCAAACAGGAUUAGAUACCCGGGUAGUCCCUGAGCGGGCUGGCAAGGCGCAU
Molecule: ribosomal RNA, 447 nt
Filed under: uncultured bacterium
Lineage: Bacteria
Description: bacterial SSU rRNA
Rfam family: Bacterial small subunit ribosomal RNA
Source: RNAcentral